RNAcentral lists this ribosomal RNA (250 nucleotides) under uncultured prokaryote. Its description in RNAcentral is "partial 16S ribosomal RNA". It matches the Rfam family "Bacterial small subunit ribosomal RNA", at positions 524 to 773 of the family's 1533-position model. The record is from RNAcentral.
UACGGAGGAUGCGAGCGUUGUCCGGAAUGAUUGGGCGUAAAGGGCGCGUAGGCGGCUUGAUAAGUCUGGAGUGAAAGUCCUGCCUUCAAGGUGGGAAUUGCUUUGGAUACUGUUGAGCUUGAGUGCAGGAGAGGUAAGUGGAAUUCCCAGUGUAGCGGUGAAAUGCGUAGAGAUUGGGAGGAACACCAGUGGCGAAGGCGACUUACUGGACUGUAACUGACGCUGAGGCGCGAAAGUAUGGGGAGCAAAC